AUUGCAGAGGCUUCAGUUGGUGGUCAGCUGACUCCACUGUUUUCAGGCUUGUGGCAACCAGAGGCAUCGGCAACUCUGCUGGUGACUUCAGAGUUUGCCCUGGGAAUUUCUGAAGAUUGGAAUUUCUUCAUGCAGCCAGAAUCUAUCACUCAAGUGGUGACUACAACAUGUGCUCAGGAAAGUCCCGUGCACAAGACAAGGACAUCCAGUUCUGUUUUAAAACCAAGCUUGGAGUAGACCACACAGACAGCUCACCCACCCGCAUCGCCCCUGGAGCACGUCCAGCCUUCUGGUCCCUCGGUGGGUGCUUUUCUGUCUUCUAGGAAAGGAGACAAUCUAUAUGGAGAUCAGGAAGUCCCUAACGGCGCUGUAGUCUGACCUGAGUAGCUGACCUUGCAGGUUUAAACUCUUGAAGGAGCUGUUGGUUUUCAGUCAAGCCUCCGUCUAUAAUUUUAUCCACCAGUUUCCCAAUUAACUUCACUAAGAUGACCAGAGGUGUGUGCGUGUGUUGAAGUAAUAAUUAUCAGGCUGACUCAAUGCUGCCCUCAAGUGCUGUCUCAAAAUAUGAGAUCCGGAAGAAGAAAAGCAAGGCAAAGAGCCACUGAUCAUCAGAAAGGAAACGUGUCACCAAAAUCCACUGCACGUCUUGAAUUGCUCUUCCUGUUGCUAUUUAAAAGAGAUCAUAUUGCAAAAUAAAGU
RNAcentral lists this long non-coding RNA (699 nucleotides) under Heterocephalus glaber (naked mole-rat). RNAcentral's name for it is "lncRNA (ENSHGLG00000048251.1)". Lineage: Eukaryota; Metazoa; Chordata; Mammalia; Rodentia; Bathyergidae. The record is from RNAcentral.